CCAGGUCAGUUUCUAUCUAUAUCUGAGUUUCUUCUAGUACGAAAGGACCGAAGAAACGCGGCCUAUGUUUCUACAAGCCGCAGCUACCAAAUUAUGACCCAGACUCAAUAAUAUCGUAGCCUAAAAAAAGACUCAAGACAAGAGUUG
RNAcentral lists this ribosomal RNA (147 nucleotides) under Rhinella vellardi (Alto Maranon toad). RNAcentral describes it as "partial 16S ribosomal RNA". Lineage: Eukaryota; Metazoa; Chordata; Amphibia; Anura; Bufonidae. The record is from RNAcentral.